UAACAAUGAUUUCCCUAGUAACGGCGAGUGAAGAGGAAAGAGCUCAAAGUUGGAACCUGUUUGGCUUAGCUAAACCGGAUUGUAAACUGUAGAAACGUUUUCCUGGCACGCCGGAUUAAAAAGUCCUUUGGAACAGGGCAUCAUAGAGGGUGAGAAUCCCGUCAUUGGUCCGAGCUGUUGUCUUUUGUGAUACGUUUUCAAAGAGUCAGGUUGUUUGGGAAUGCAGCCUAAAUUGGGUGGUAAAUCUCACCUAAAGCUAAAUAUUUGCGAGAGACCGAUAGCGAACAAGUACCGUGAGGGAAAGAUGAAAAGAGCUUUGAAAAGAGAGUUAAACAGUAUGUGAAAUUGUUAAAAGGGAACCGUUUGGAGCCAGACUGGCUUAAUUGUAAUCAAUCUAGGUUUCGACCUGGAUGCACUUGCAGUCUAUGCCUGCCAACGACAGUUCUUUUUGCAGGAUAAAACUAGGAGGAAUGUGGCCCCUCGGGGUGUUAUAGCCUUUUAGAUAAUACUGUGAAUGGGACUGAGGAACGCAGUGAAUGCUGUAUGGCGAAAUGGCUGAGCGCUUUUACUAAUAGAUGUCUGAAUUUCUGCUUCGGGUGGUGCUGAUGUCUAAAGGUGAAACUCGUUUGGUUUAUUUUCUAUUCACUUAGGUUGUUGGCUUAAUGACUCUAAAUGACCCGUCUUGAAACACGGACCAA
Molecule: ribosomal RNA, 698 nt
Filed under: Kirkomyces cordensis
Lineage: Eukaryota; Fungi; Mucoromycota; Mucoromycetes; Mucorales; Mucoraceae
Description: eukaryotic LSU rRNA
Rfam family: Eukaryotic large subunit ribosomal RNA
Source: RNAcentral